GACGAACGCUGGCGGCGUGCUUAACACAUGCAAGUCGAACGGAAAGGCCCUGCUUUUGUGGGGUGCUCGUGUGGCGAACGGGUGAGUAACACGUGAGUAACCUGCCCUUGACUUUGGGAUAACUUCAGGGAACUGGGGAUAAUACCGGGGAGGAGCUCCUGCUGCGUGGGGGGGGAUGGAAAGUUUCGGCGGUUGGGGAUGGAAUCGCGGCUUAUCAGCUUGUUGGUGGGGUAGUGGCUUACCAAGGCUAUGAAGGGUAGCCGGCCUGAGAGCGUGACCGGCCACCUUGGUCCUGAGAUACGGCCCAGUCUCCUACGGGAGGCAGAAGUCGGGAAUAUUGCACAAUGGGCGGACGCCUGAUGCAGCAACGCCGCGUGCGGGAUGACGUCCUUCUGGUUGUAAACCGCUUUCGCCUUUGACGAAGCGUGAGUGACGGUAAUGGGUAAAGAAGCACCGGCUAACUACGUG
This 468-nucleotide ribosomal RNA is filed under the name uncultured bacterium. Its description in RNAcentral is "partial 16S ribosomal RNA". It matches the Rfam family "Bacterial small subunit ribosomal RNA", at positions 28 to 507 of the family's 1533-position model. The record is from RNAcentral.